This 1247-nucleotide long non-coding RNA is filed under the name Capra hircus (goat). RNAcentral describes it as "lncRNA (ENSCHIG00000004031.1)". Lineage: Eukaryota; Metazoa; Chordata; Mammalia; Artiodactyla; Bovidae. The record is from RNAcentral.
AGGGUAUUCAGGGACAAGAUGAUGACAACGCUGUGGUCUUUAUGUCACAUACACGGUGUUCUUGGGUCUCUUUAGAAAAGGAGAUGACCCCUUUUCUAACAGAAUGGAAAGUCCUGUUGUCCUUUCACAUAUCACCCACAGUCAGCGACAGAGGCUGUCCCCAACGCCAGGCCUUCAGAUCCCUUUCUCAGAAGCUUUAUCUCUCCUGCCAGUUGGGGGACUGUGGCUGGUUUUCUCCAUGAGACCUAUUCUGUAUUAAACAGGAAAGCACAAACAAGCACCAAUACCACUGCCCAGAACAGAGAAAAUUAUUUGAAUGCUUCCUGUUACAAUAGUGGCCACCACAGAGGAGUAAUCUUCAGUUUAUGAAAACUUUUUUCUGAGUCCAAGAGUGUGGCAAUCUGUGAGGUUUUCAUCCUGACUUUGUCUUUCCACCCUUUGCAUAUCAUCCUGGGACGGUAGGGACAUGUACUUCUGUUGUUUCCCAAUCUCACCACCAAGGGGCGCUCGCGAUGAAACAGUUCUGUCCUGGGAUGUACCACUGAAGUGUAGCGGUGGGACCACCCACUCUGGAAGGUACCAUUACGAGAGUGAGUGUGAAAAAACAGAGGGUGCUCUGACACUGCGUCGGGCAUCGACCACAGUUCCCAGCGGAGGCACUCAUAGCGCCAGUGGGUCCAACGGCAUUCGCUCCACUUCGUCUUCCCACUGCAUUUGAAUUAGAGUGGACACCGAUAUUAAGCUGCAACUUUGUCUCUUUUCCAACUCCACCCCUUCGUUUCUACAUGGUCUCAACGAACGUGGGGAUGGGUACAGAGCGACAGAUUGGCUGCAGCUUCGAGGGUACGGCGACCGGGAGAUUGCCUGAAUUAGCUCUUCCGGGGCGCGAGUACACGCGGAAGUCCGGCUACUCCCGCCCUCCUUCGUCUCCUGCUCAGUUCCCAUUGGCUGCCUGUCUUAGACAGGCACUGAGGUCGCGGAGCUGGAACUCUGGGCGAGAGGCGUGUGUAUACCAGUGCGCCUGCGUUCGCUUUCGCGGCUUUUCAGAGUGUGCACUUUUUCUCCGAGUUUUACCGCUUUUCCCGAAGGGGGUGAAUCGCUGCCUUGGUAUCUACCUGAACUGUUUGGAGUCGUUGUGUUAGAAAUAAAGCCUCUUGCGUUCUUGGCUGUGAGGUCUCUGUCCAGGAACUGAGGAUUUGGAAGCAGGCAGAUAUGAUUCCGAAGCCUGGAAGCUGACAUGCCGACUG